AUUAUUAUAAUUUCUCCGGCAAUGGUGCCAAAAUAUUACUCUCGUUGUAUUUAAGUUUCAAUAUACCAAAGUAAUUGAAUUUAUAGAGGUGGGUUCAAAUAUGGAGAAAGACUGGUUAUAUGAAUAGGGUCUAUUAGUGUCACAAUUGAUUAUAUUCUAGCUAUUUAAAAUCAAUUAUUAAACUACAAAAUACCAAGGCUUAUUACUUUUGUCUUAAUUCAAUACAUAAUCUAUUCUACGAUUAUCAAUUCAACAAUACUUCCAUAUUCUUAUCAGUUCAUCUCCCACUUACUAUCUUUGCAAUUUAUAUAUAUUCAAUUACUGAUCUCCAACUUACUUAUUAUAUUCAAUUUCUCAAUUUUAUCACAUAGAAUUCAAUAACUUUACUUAACACAAUACAAUUCGAUAAUUUCAAAUCUCAAGGUCACAGAUUUUCUCCAAAAUGGUCAGUCUAAAGUAAUAUUUCAUAAUAUUCUAAUCACAAUUUCAACAAAUACUUCUCUCAAUCACAAUUCUUUAUAAGCAAAUAAUAAAAGCAAAGAAAAUAAAGAAGUAGUACCAAGCUUAUUCUGGCUUACGAUUCUUAUAGUCUGGCCCCCUAGCUUACGACUCUCAUAGUCUGGCUCCAAUCUCCCACUUCUCAACCUCUUUAUCCUACCAAAAGAUGGACCGUUGACCAGCAGAUUCCAAAAGAUAUGAUCCUUUGAAUUCUUAACUAUUUGUUCUACUAACAUCCUACUCUUACCAACUAAACUGCCUAAUCAUAAGUCU
Molecule: long non-coding RNA, 771 nt
Filed under: Physcomitrium patens
Lineage: Eukaryota; Viridiplantae; Streptophyta; Bryopsida; Funariales; Funariaceae
Description: long non-coding RNA (PPAT_LNC011583)
Source: RNAcentral